AUACGUAGGGAGCGAGCGUUGUCCGGAAUUACUGGGUGUAAAGGGAGCGUAGGCGGGAGUGCAAGUCAGAUGUGAAAUAAAUGGGCUCAACCCAUGGGCUGCAUUUGAAACUGCAUUUCUUGAGUGAAGUAUAGGUAAGCGGAAUUCAUGUUGCAGCGGUGAAAUGCGUAGAUAUCAGGAGGAACCCCGGUGGCGAAGGCGGCUUACUGGGCUUUUACUGACGCUGAGGCUCGAAAGCGUGGGGAGCAAACAGGAUUAGAUACCCUGGUAGUCCACGCUGUAAACGAUGAUUACUAGGUGUGGGGGGACUGACCCCUUCCGUGCCGCAGUUAACACAAUAAGUAAUCCACCUGGGGAGUACGGCCGCAAGGUUGAAACUCAAAUGAAUGGACGGGG
This 396-nucleotide ribosomal RNA is filed under the name uncultured bacterium. Its description in RNAcentral is "partial 16S ribosomal RNA". It matches the Rfam family "Bacterial small subunit ribosomal RNA", at positions 523 to 918 of the family's 1533-position model. The record is from RNAcentral.